Molecule: long non-coding RNA, 271 nt
Filed under: Homo sapiens (human)
Lineage: Eukaryota; Metazoa; Chordata; Mammalia; Primates; Hominidae
Description: HSALNT0295341
Source: RNAcentral
CCACAUGCUCACUGCACAUUGUUGUUGAGGAUGCAGGGAUCCACCUAAAGAAAGAAACAGACUAUUUCAGUUCAGGUAAGAACAAAAAGAACAAACCAGUUUAGCAAUCCGUCUAAGUCAACUUCUUAUAGAAAGCUUAGGACAAAUUUAACAGUAAAGAUGACAAUCCUCACCUCAGUAUAAGUCGGUGGUGGCAUGAACUUGAACUCAGGGGCAUACAUAAAGAUAGGGCUGUCUUGAGAGCCAUCCAUGUCAUCUAGCAGAGGAGUGG